This 598-nucleotide long non-coding RNA is filed under the name Monodelphis domestica (gray short-tailed opossum). RNAcentral describes it as "lncRNA (ENSMODG00000049803.1)". The record is from RNAcentral. Lineage: Eukaryota; Metazoa; Chordata; Mammalia; Didelphimorphia; Didelphidae.
AUUUAUCCAGCCCUAACCUCAGUUCUGUCCUCUAUCCUCACAUGUCCAACUUUCUUAUGUGGAAAGGAAACAAGACUGACAGUUUGUGGGGGAAGGGGCCAACUGGGAGUGGCAGUUGGGUCUUGUGACUAGCACUUCCUUCCUGCCAGGAGAGGUCUUGCAUACUGGGGUUGGAGGAGAGUGGAGCUUUUUCAGCCCAGUCUGGAGUAGCAUGCUCUUCUUGGUUCAGCCCAAAGACACAGGCUUCUAAAGAAUUGCAUUAUAAAAUCGUGGAUGUAGAACUGGAAGAUACUUCGUUAGACCUUAUCAACUCUGACAUCCAGAUUUAAGAGAAGGGGAAGAAGUUUAAAGAAAAAUGAGACAUUGACUAAGAAAGGUCCUUACUUCCUGCUGAGUUGGUUUAUCAAGGUGUGGCCACUGUGGUUGCUGAAGCUUCUUAGAGUCACAGAUGAGAACUGGGUGGCAGUUAGAUACCAAAGGAUGAUGAGAAGCAUUGAAAAGGUUUCAGCAAGCCCUCACAUUACAGGUAUUCAUCUUUUUUGGACAUCCAAAUUUAAGAAAGGAUUACAAAUAAAGAAGACAGAAUUUCAUUCCUUCA